Molecule: ribosomal RNA, 862 nt
Filed under: Tsukamurella tyrosinosolvens
Lineage: Bacteria; Bacillati; Actinomycetota; Actinomycetes; Mycobacteriales; Tsukamurellaceae
Description: bacterial SSU rRNA
Rfam family: Bacterial small subunit ribosomal RNA
Source: RNAcentral
UCGAACGGUAAGGCCCUUUCGGGGGUACACGAGUGGCGAACGGGUGAGUAACACGUGGGUGACCUGCCCUGUACUUCGGGAUAAGCCUGGGAAACUGGGUCUAAUACCGGAUAUGACCUUCUCCUGCAUGGGGGUUGGUGGAAAGCUUUUGCGGUACAGGAUGGGCCCGCGGCCUAUCAGCUUGUUGGUGGGGUAAUGGCCUACCAAGGCGACGACGGGUAGCCGGCCUGAGAGGGCGACCGGCCACACUGGGACUGAGACACGGCCCAGACUCCUACGGGAGGCAGCAGUGGGGAAUAUUGCACAAUGGGCGAAAGCCUGAUGCAGCGACGCCGCGUGAGGGAUGACGGCCUUCGGGUUGUAAACCUCUUUCAGUAGGGACGAAGCGCAAGUGACGGUACCUACAGAAGAAGCACCGGCCAACUACGUGCCAGCAGCCGCGGUAAUACGUAGGGUGCGAGCGUUGUCCGGAUUUACUGGGCGUAAAGAGCUCGUAGGCGGUUUGUCACGUCGUCUGUGAAAACCCGAGGCUUAACCUCGGGCCUGCAGGCGAUACGGGCAGACUUGAGUACUGUAGGGGAGACUGGAAUUCCUGGUGUAGCGGUGGAAUGCGCAGAUAUCAGGAGGAACACCGGUGGCGAAGGCGGGUCUCUGGGCAGUAACUGACGCUGAGGAGCGAAAGCGUGGGUAGCGAACAGGAUUAGAUACCCUGGUAGUCCACGCCGUAAACGGUGGGUACUAGGUGUGGGUUUCCUUCCACGGGAUCCGUGCCGUAGCUAACGCAUUAAGUACCCCGCCUGGGGAGUACGGCCGCAAGGCUAAAACUCAAGGAAUUGACGGGGGCCCGCACAAGCGGCGGAGC